ACUGCUACUACUACUACUACUACCGUCUACUUCCACUGCCUGGUUCUAUAACUAGUAUAACCACAACAUGAUCUUCUAGUAAGGGUUCGAAUCUCUAUAUCGAAGUCCCGAGUACCAGUGAACGAACGACUCGUGGGUUCAGUUGUAGUCGUGGUGGUGACGAGGACGACCCCUCAGAUACACUCACACCAAAUCUCCACCAGCGCUUGUAUCGUCUGUGACUCGUGUUUCUAUAGGGGUGAAGAAAGUGAAGACCAGUAGAGAGUCCCUUCAUCAACACAAGACACACCCUCACCCAAAGAACACCACUGCAGUCUUCUCUCUCCCCUACUACCACCACCACUGCCAUGGCCCCAGUCGCGUCGUCUGGCAAGAAAGGAGGCAAGAAAGGACUCCUCUCUCUGGUGGAGAAUGUUGUGCAUAAAACCCUGAACCCUAAACAUAAGUCAGGCGUUAGUAAGCGGAGGAGUCACGGAGAGGAAGAAAACCGACCCGGAUGUCGGAAGAUGAUCAAACGAUGCGUGAAAAAAAGCGUGCGUGUGGCUGUGUGUGCCUACGGGAUGGUGAGGGAGACUGGUAUGCUGGGUGGCAUCCCGGGUGUGGUGGCAGAUGCCUUUGUGAGUACUACAAGAGCCUUACUAGGUGUAAGAAGCCCACAGCACAUGAGCACACCCAUCGCUGCUGGCUGGAACUUGGAAUGUGAGGCCUCUCGGGAAUGUAAAGUUCGUUGCGACGUUCUGAGCGUCUCCAAGUCACCGGAGUUCUCGACGCGGCUUGAGUUUCGGUCCCCUAUUGAUGUUUUCAUCAGACCAGGAGAGGUGGAGGUGAGAGGGAGUGCAGGGCGCUCGCACACGCAAGGAAGGUUGGCUAUUCAAGGCGGUGUAAGCUCUUUCGUUUCUCCCGGACCUUCAGCCACAGAUCUAACCGUUUCAACGCCUCAAUUUGGCGCUCAUGGCUCCUUGAUCGAGCCCAAAACCGAACCUACAUCGCCCGGCUUCGUAACAUGUCCUCUAACACCCCUACAGACGGAACCAAUCCUGUUCCCUCGUAUCAAGACGGAGAGGACACGCCUACAGACGGAAGCAGCAGACCUGCUCCCUCGUAUCAAGGAGGAAAGGAGGAUCAAGCGAGAGGUUCUGUAAUUCAUGAACCAGGCACACCGCCAGUCUUGGAAGUCAUUCCGCUAUCGCCUCUACAAACAGUCGCAAUUUACCUCUCGCAUCAAGUGAGGAGGAGGAGGAGGAGGAGGAGGAGGAGGAGGAGGAUCAAGCAAGAAGUCCUAUAAUUUAUCUAAAACAGGGCGACGUAAAUAGAGUGGAGGGAAUAGUGCAGCACCAAGAUAAGGGGAAAAAGUUGCUCAUCUUUACACACACGCCUCACUGACCUAUUGCUGGGUCUUGGUGGUGGUGACUCGGCGGUGAGUUGCAGAAUGAGUGCUGGAAUGGCUGCGUCCUACUGAAGGCGACCUGAUAGUGAAAGAAAGUGCUGGUGUAAGGAUACAGUGAUAAUGAUGCAUAAAGAGAAGACAAUAGGAGGAGGAGGAGGAGGAGGAGGAGGAGGAAGUAGUGGUGAGAUGGCCUAUUUUUAAGUGUUACAGUGUCGUUAAAAGGCUAAGCACGUGAGCUCUUGAAGUGAUUGGCUAAGAGAAGCUGCCACCUAGUGCUAAGAAGUGGCUUUCAAUCCCAGUCUGAACCAAGCACUGCAGUAUGUCGACCCUUACUUUCUCACCACGCUGCACUGGGUAGCCGCGCUCGCUCAGAAAGGCGCACUCCCACAACCACAUGCUCUAAAUCAAAGCUGUGUUUAUUUUUAUUAGUAAUUUCCAACCGGUGAGUGUUGUCAAUGUAAUGUUUUAGUAAUUGCUUUUAAAAUAGGUGCUGUUUGUCGUGCGUAAUAAAAAGCGUGUUUUUGUAAA
This is a long non-coding RNA of Scylla paramamosain (green mud crab), 1915 nucleotides long. RefSeq lists it as uncharacterized. The transcript is spliced from 2 exons. NCBI's taxonomy places the organism in Eukaryota, Metazoa, Arthropoda, Malacostraca, Decapoda, Portunidae. The record is from RefSeq and is a predicted model, not a curated record.